CGUAACCAUCGCCAUACCCAUAGCUUAGGUGAGCUGGUCCCUCCCUUUCUUUCUUUCACAGACGAACUGAAACACAGAUCAUGUCUUUUCUCUAUCCAAAACCCUAAAACACAACGAAAUCAAAACGACAAUGUCACUCACCUUUCAUCGCCUCUUCGCAAUCGCAAACUCACCUUCUCGCCUGCCUUUCUACUUCAUUACCCCCAUUAAACCCUCUCUUAAAAACCCUAAUUUCUCCCCUCCAAUCCUCUCCCGCCACUUAUCCAAUUCCUUACAUCUACAAAAUUUCCCCUACAAACCCCAAGUCCUUUUCAGUUUUUCCGCAAAAUCCUAUAGUUUUCCUCUCAAAGCUUAUCAAUCCGAUGACACAGUAAGCGCACAAGUCUCCGAUGGUUUCAAUCUCGAUGUUUUUCUCUCAAUUGCUGAGUUUUUAUGUAUUGUCUUGUCGGCUAUUAUUACAAUCAGUUAUGCAGUGAAUUCUACGGUUUUAAGCUCUAAAAAGACGGUGUUGGGGGUCAUAGGGAGUAACAAGGCGUUUGCUUGGGGAUUGGUGGUGAUGAUGAGUGGCAUGGUGAUUGGUGCGUGGAUUAGGAGGCGGCAAUGGCUGCGCCUUUGUAGAGUAACGGUAAGGGAGGGUCGAGAGAGUGUGAAUUUGGUGGAGAGGAUUGAAAAAUUGGAGGAGGAUUUGAGGAGUUCUGCCACGAUAAUUCGGGUCUUGUCGAGGCAGCUUGAGAAGUUAGGGAUUAGGUUUCGGAUUACAAGGAAAGCUUUGAAAGAGCCCAUUGCUGAGACUGCAGCUUUGGCAAAAAAGAACUCUGAGGCUACUCGAGCACUAGCAGUGCAGGAAGAUAUCCUGGAAAAGGAGCUUGGAGAAAUUCAGAAGGUCUUGUUGGCAAUGCAGGAGCAGCAACAAAAACAACUGGAGCUGAUUCUUGCAAUUGGAAAGGGUGGGAAGUUAUGGGAGAGUAAGCAGGAACCUGGCCAAGAGCAAGCCAAGGUUGAAACAUCUGAUUUGACUAAGAAAGCAAAACAGUUGGAAACGCAGGAAACUCAGGCUUCAGGUGCAAGCAAAGGAACCAACAAUGACAAACCGUAAAAAUGUUGAAGCAGUAAAUUUUCGUCGGAUUCUGCUGCCUUGUUCACCUCACAAGGACAAUUUGCUUGACCUUUCUCUCCACAUGACAGGUGGGCUCUUCUGGGAUCACUACAGCUAUAUCUCUGGUUGUUGAACAAUUAUACGGGAGAAGUUAUCCAGUUCUUGAUCUGAUUUUUACACCGGUGUGAAAACAACGCAGGACAAUAAAUUGUUACGUUGCAUUGUACCAUUUGACACAAAAUUCUCCUUGUGCUCAUAAUUGUAUUUGU
RNAcentral lists this unclassified non-coding RNA (1365 nucleotides) under Hevea brasiliensis (rubber tree). Lineage: Eukaryota; Viridiplantae; Streptophyta; Magnoliopsida; Malpighiales; Euphorbiaceae. The record is from RNAcentral.